AAGCAUGUCAGAGGGAUUGAGCAUUUUUUAAAUGUUGUCGCUUCUCACUUCGCAACAUAUAUACAUACACACUCACACAUAACCAAACGUGAGCGUACGGUGGGUAUCUCUUGUGGGGAACGAGAGCACGUUCUGAGGUGCUGCAGUGUAUCUGUAGGGGUGACAGCCGCUGUGCCUCCUGCCACCUCUGUGGCCAGGGCAUCCGCAGCUCUAAGAGUCGUGCUCUGGGACCCCCUCCAACCCCAUCCCCAGGGCUGCGGUCCACGUGGAGCUGAGCAGCGGAGGUAUCAGAACCUUUGACAGGCACCGUCAUCCUCUCCCUGGCUGUUCGUCAGUUCUAGGAUUUUACACACCUCUUCCACAGGAGCAACCUAGAGUUGGAGUUUUUAAGAGCCAAGUGCUGUGUGUUCUUUAAAGAUAAUUGAACCCCUCCCAAAUGUUGCUUCCUGAAAAUCACUGCCUCUGCAGAGAGGCUGGGGGACUGUUGGUGGUCGUCUAUCUUCCUUUGAGGGGUGGGACGCCCCUGGGCUUCCCUGCUGUGAACUCCCCUCUUGAAGUCUCUGGGAUCUUCAGCGACGGGUGUGUGAAGGCAGCCUUGGCGGUCGCUGCACAUCCUGCAUAAACCUUCGUGUCCAUCACUCACCUUCCUGCCGACUCCUCUGCCUGUGGCGGCUGCCACGUUUCUUUGAUUUCCUUCGAUUUCUCAGUCUGUCAUUCUCUGGAUCCAGGGGUCCUUGCAGGCCCCCCAUCAAUUCAGAAGAUGGACAUAUGGCUCACACUUAUGUUU
RNAcentral lists this long non-coding RNA (787 nucleotides) under Equus asinus (donkey). Its description in RNAcentral is "lncRNA (ENSEASG00005037970.1)". Lineage: Eukaryota; Metazoa; Chordata; Mammalia; Perissodactyla; Equidae. The record is from RNAcentral.